AACGAACGCUGGCGGCAUGCCUAACACAUGCAAGUCGAACGAGACCUUCGGGUCUAGUGGCGCACGGGUGCGUAACGCGUGGGAACCUGCCCUUAGGUUCGGAAUAACUCCCCGAAAGGGGUGCUAAUACCGGAUAAUGUCUUCGGACCAAAGAUUUAUCGCCUUUGGAUGGGCCCGCGUUGGAUUAGCUAGUUGGUAGGGUAAAAGCCUACCAAGGCGACGAUCCAUAGCUGGUCUGAGAGGAUGAUCAGCCACACUGGGACUGAGACACGGCCCAGUCUCCUACGGGAGGCAGCAGUGGGGAAUAUUGGACAAUGGGCGAAAGCCUGAUCCAGCAAUGCCGCGUGAGUGAUGAAGGCCUUAGGGUUGUAAAGCUCUUUUACCCGGGAUGAUAAUGACAGUACCGGGAGAAUAAGCUCCGGCUAACUCCGUG
Molecule: ribosomal RNA, 433 nt
Filed under: uncultured bacterium
Lineage: Bacteria
Description: partial 16S ribosomal RNA
Rfam family: Bacterial small subunit ribosomal RNA
Source: RNAcentral